UUAAUUAUACCUAAGUAUGAGAACCAUCACCCCACUCUUUUGUCUAAGAUGGCUUCCACCCUAGUAGCAGUAAUCGGUGGCAAUAUCACACCAGUGUAGAGAAAUCCGUACUUUCUUUUUAUCAUAUUUAUGUCUCGAUUGAAGAUAUUGGGGCCAUUGAUUUGUUAUGGUCAUAGGUAUACAUGAAGAGGUGCUCUUUUGACUGGACUCUCAUAUUGAUUUGUUCGUGAUAAGGGACCAUAAUCAAAUGAUAACCGAAUUUCAUGAUGGUUAAUAAAAAUUUAGUAUACAAGAACCUGUUCGGCAAAAUUAAUUCCAUAGUAUUUGGAAACUACUAAAAAAAUAAAUUAUGCAGAUUUUAAAGUUUUUGGCAUAAACAUAAAAAAUAUAUGAACAGUGAUACCACACUGCACAACUCUGUUUCGAAGACUUUGAAGCUUUGCAACAUAGUUAACACGUACUACCAUGAUAAGAAAACCAAGCUACCAGCAGACCUUUCGGAAUGGCCAAUCGUGGAUGCUAAGGGGAUUCCUAACUGUGGUGGCAGUGAUAAUUCUACUGGAUGGGUCCUUUCAUGGGUGUAACUUGAGGAUGAGUUUAAGAUCAACAUAUUUGGUGUGCUAGAUGAUGUUAUUGUGAGGGCAAAAGCAGCAAUGUCUUUGGUAACUUCUCCAUUCAAUAGAUUGAGGAAGCACAUUCUGAUCUUAAUGAUGUUAUGGACUGGCAAGCACGCCAGGCACGCCAAGCACCACACCAAGAAUCCUAAGAUAAAUUUGGUAGUGUCGAACAAUGCUGAUGUCCACUUAAUUGCAACACUAUUUUCAUACUUUUGCAUCUCUUUUGCAAUACCAGAGAACUUGUUGAGUGGCGUUGUUAUUUAAGAAACCACUAUGUGUCAUUCUUUAACAUUAAUCAUUCUAUUUUCUUGUGCCCAUGGACUUUCAUUAAGUUGUUACUGCAAAGCUAUUAUACCCUUUAAUUCUCUAUAUUUUGUGAUGGAUA
Molecule: long non-coding RNA, 1002 nt
Organism: Arachis stenosperma
Lineage: Eukaryota; Viridiplantae; Streptophyta; Magnoliopsida; Fabales; Fabaceae
Exons: 3
Source: RefSeq, a predicted model, not a curated record